GAUGAACGCUGGCGGCGUGCCUAAUACAUGCAAGUCGAGCGAACAGAUGAGAAGCUUGCUUCUCUGAUGUUAGCGGCGGACGGGUGAGUAACACGUGGGUAACCUACCUAUAAGACUGGGAUAACUCCGGGAAACCGGGGCUAAUACCGGAUAAUAUUUUGAACCGCAUGGUUCAAUAGUGAAAGACGGUUUCGGCUGUCACUUAUAGAUGGACCCGCGCCGUAUUAGCUAGUUGGUAAGGUAACGGCUUACCAAGGCGACGAUACGUAGCCGACCCGAGAGGGUGAUCGGCCACACUGGAACUGAGACACGGUCCAGACUCCUACGGGAGGCAGCAGUAGGGAAUCUUCCGCAAUGGGCGAAAGCCUGACGGAGCAACGCCGCGUGAGUGAUGAAGGUCUUCGGAUCGUAAAACCCUGUUGUUAGGGAAGAACAAAUUUGUUAGUAACUGAACAAGUCUUGUCGGUACCUAACCAGAAAGCCACGGCUAACUACGUGCCAGCAGCCGCCGCCG
RNAcentral lists this ribosomal RNA (514 nucleotides) under uncultured bacterium. RNAcentral describes it as "partial 16S ribosomal RNA". It matches the Rfam family "Bacterial small subunit ribosomal RNA", at positions 28 to 523 of the family's 1533-position model. The record is from RNAcentral.